RNAcentral lists this long non-coding RNA (709 nucleotides) under Anas platyrhynchos platyrhynchos (common mallard). RNAcentral's name for it is "lncRNA (ENSAPLG00000017189.1)". Lineage: Eukaryota; Metazoa; Chordata; Aves; Anseriformes; Anatidae. The record is from RNAcentral.
AAGCUUUGAACGACCUUGCCUUUGUCUAUAAGCAGAAUGGAAACUAAUGUUGUGACUCUGAAAGUUUCCUGAAAUGUUUUUUUUUUUUUUUUUUUUCCCCUCUUAAUUCAAGGCAAGAAGCUGCUGGAGGUGAGCCAAUGUAGUAAUCCAGAAGAAUUCAACUGUUAUGCGAAAAAGGUAGACUAAACCAGAGAGGCAUGUCUGACACUUUGCAUUAGAAAAUGCAGAGCUUCUGUAGUGGAAUCACAGCCACAAAGGAAUUCAUGUAAUAGCCCUCUUCAAAUCAAGCUUUUUCAUUUGUGUGUAUAUACCUGUGCACGUGCUUUUUUGAAGUGCCCAUAUGGUGUGAGAAGCUUCACAGCCUGGAAAAGAUAGGAGGUACAAGGUGAGUACCCCACAAGGACCACCAUCCUUUUUAAGCAGAGCUGUUCUGAGUACUCUGAUUAUAAAGAAAUGACUGGCAAACGCUUUGAGUACUAUGCUGAUGAAAAGGUGGGUGAAUGCUAUUGAUUGCUUUUAUAGCUUUUGAAACAGUAGUAUUUGAUGGUAUUGUACAUGUAGUGUUGCAACAUUCACAGGCUUCAGAUUGACUAAGACAGAGCUCAACGACUUUGUUCAGUAUAAAUAACCACCUUUUGAAUUUUAGCAUGCCUGUAGAGAUGUUUGUAUAACCCUAACACUUAAAAUUGGGAACUAGCAGAUACAGAAA